GCCCUAGACAAUAUCUAAGGUGUAACCUGCCCAGUGAUCUUUAAUUAAAACAAGAUAAAAUCUUGUUAAUAAGAUUAAAAGGACGCGGUAACCUUGACCGUGAUAAUGUAGCAUAAUCACUCGCCAUUUAAUUGAUGGAUAGUAUGAAUGGUUGAACGAAUAUUCCACUGUCUUAGAAAGAAUUAAGAAAAAUUGAAGUAGUAGUUAAGAUACUAUUUAAAACUGUAAGACGAAAAGACCCUAUAGAGCUUAACUAUAGUCUUUUUAUUUAAUAAAAAACAAUGUUUUUAAAUUUAAAAAGAUUGGUAGUUUAGUUGGGGCGACUGCUUUCUAAAUUUAACGAAAGUAAGCAAUGUUAAUAUAUAACUUAUUGUAUAGUUAAAAGGCUUAACAAUUAUAAUCGUAGGCUAUAAUGACCCGUUUUUACUAAGUAAAAAGAAAAACGAUCAAUUGAUAAAAGCUACCUUAGGGAUAACAGGAUAAUUUCAUUUUAGAGUUCCUAUCGAAAAUGAAGUUUGUCACCUCUAUGUUGAAUUAAGAUAUCCUGAUAAUGCAGAAGUUAUCAAAGGUAGGUCUGUUCGACCUUUAAAAUCUU
RNAcentral lists this ribosomal RNA (595 nucleotides) under Aequorea sp. DNA1633. Its description in RNAcentral is "partial large subunit ribosomal RNA". It matches the Rfam family "Bacterial large subunit ribosomal RNA", at positions 1833 to 2597 of the family's 2925-position model. Lineage: Eukaryota; Metazoa; Cnidaria; Hydrozoa; Leptothecata; Aequoreidae. The record is from RNAcentral.